CCUACGGGGGGCAGCAGUAGGGAAUCUUUCACAAUGGGCGAAAGCCUGAUGGAGCAACGCCGCGUGCAGGAUGAAGGCUUUCGGGUUGUAAACUGCUUUUAUAAGCGAGAAAUAUGAUGGUAACUUAUGAAUAAGGAUCGGCUAACUACGUGCCAGCAGCCGCGGUCAUACGUAGGUUCCGAGCAUUAUCCGGAGUGACUGGGUGUAAAGAGUUGCGUAGGUGGCGUAAUAAGUAGCUAGGGAAAUCUGGUGGCUAAACCAUUCAGACUAUUAGCUAAACUGUUAAGCUCGAGACCGUUAGGGGUAAGUGGAAUUUCUGGUGGAGGAGUAAAAUCCGUAGAUAUUAGGAGGAAUACUAAUAGCGUAGGCAGGUUGCUGGGACGGUUCUGACACUAAGGCACGAAAGCGUAGGGAGCAAACGGGAUUAGAUACCCGAGUAGUC
RNAcentral lists this ribosomal RNA (442 nucleotides) under uncultured bacterium. Its description in RNAcentral is "partial 16S ribosomal RNA". It matches the Rfam family "Bacterial small subunit ribosomal RNA", at positions 338 to 795 of the family's 1533-position model. The record is from RNAcentral.